RNAcentral lists this long non-coding RNA (1547 nucleotides) under Nicotiana benthamiana. RNAcentral describes it as "long non-coding RNA (NBEN_LNC032093)". The record is from RNAcentral. Lineage: Eukaryota; Viridiplantae; Streptophyta; Magnoliopsida; Solanales; Solanaceae.
UGUGCUGAAACCCUCGACAGAGCCGAGGAAAAGGAAGAUUAAAAUUGCAAAAGCAACCAUGAAAACACCAACAUACUGGUACUCAGUAAAAAGGAAUGAUGUUGCACCUGCGGCAUCAUUAGAUUCAAAGUUAUUAUCAGGGAGGUUACAUUAUAAAAGUUAACAAUCAGGUAAGAGUUUAUUUAAGCUCUUGGCAUCAAUAGAUUCAAAGUUAUUAUCAGGGAGGUUACAUUAUAAAAGUUAACAAUCAGGUAAGAGUUUUUUUAAGCUCUCUAUGAGACACACUGAUUAUGCAGCAACAACACAAAAUCUUCUUUACCAAAGAGUGACAUUGCAAUGUUCCAAAUAAAUUAUCACCGAGAGAAACUAAAGGUAUUUGCAGUAUAUAAGUUGACCAGAAAGCCAUUUAUCAAUUGAACUUUAAACAAAUCUAGCAAUUCAUACAACAGGAUAAAAGAAAAGCCUUUUCAAUCAUUCGACAUCCAUAAUAAGGCCAGUUGGUAUCACUGCCAAAAUUUAACUGUUCAAUCUUACACUGAACAAUGAACAUUGUUUUGUCAACAUUUUAAAAUUAUAUUUUUUGGGCAUCCAUUUUAAAGUAAAUCAACAAUGUAUAACUGAGACCAAAUCACUCUUUUUGUAUUCCUUUUUUUCUGUGUUUUCUUUUUUUUGCUAAUGAGAAAAGCCAUAAUGGCUUAUCCGCAGAAACGCAAUCUCAUUGGCAGAGUGCAAAAUGUUCAGAUCACAUAACUUGAGACAUAAAAGUCCUCUAAUUUCUUUUCUUAUAAUUUAAUGUUCUGAAACAGCCAGCCAGGAUGCUCAAUGUAAGUACAAAACUAGCCUUGUGGAAAUCAGGGCAAUUUGAUCCCUCUAAACCUAAAAUCAACCUUUUUUUAAAUGAAAUUAUUAAAAAAAUGCUCAGAUAUAAUAUUUAUAUCCAUAAGAUACUGGAAAAAAAUUAAAUUUGUUUAUCUUAACUUAUAAAAAGCAAAAAGACUUUAAGCAUCAAGUAUCUCAAAAUCAGCAGCCUUGCCACUAAGGUGGCCAUCUAUAUUAAACAACUGACACGUGAUGGUGAUGAUAGCAAAUUACCAAGCCAACACGGCAUGUUAGAUCUACUAAUGUCAGAACAACACCGACAGGGCAAGUGUUUAACAGCAACUAGGAAUUUCUUAUUUUUUUUAGGUAUGAAAGGUAGCUUGAGAUAGUACCCAGUUUGCAAUUAAUUAUGCCCUUCAUAAUCACAACCACCAAAGAAAGUUCCAUUAUAAUUAAAGACCAAAAGUAAAGUCCAAGUCUAGAAAACGUGUGACAAAACCAAGAAAGAAUUACAUAAUUUAAUAGAGUUGAAGCCCUAUGCGUGUAUGGUGUAAAAAAAUAUUUACACAACCAAAUUACAACAAAAAUACUAACAGUGAAAAUUUAUAUGAUAAAAAUUAAUUAAUAAUCUAGUAAGAAUGAUAACUACCUUAUUAUUAUAGGUUAAACUGAUAGUGAAAAAGAAUAGACAAUAUAAAAAAUAUUACAUAAUUAAAUUAUAUAUAAGC